UGCCAAUCCUCGUAGCGCUCCGCGUCCUCGAUCCCGCGGCCUCGCCCGUGAUUUCCGGAAAGAUUCCACCCGAAUCACGCCUUAUCAGGAAGAAUGGGUCAGUUCAAAAAGAAAAAAAAAACGGAUCGUAGCAAGCGCCGCCGCUCCUCCCGAUCGCCCCGAGCCGACCCCGCCUCCGGUCGCCGCCCACGCACCUGCAAGCCGCCGCCGACGUCCUCUGCCGGGCUCCGCCGGACCGUCCCACGCGACUGCCGGCCUCCUCCCGGCCAGACCGACGAUGGCGACGACCGGAUCUGACCGGUCGCCUCCGUUUCCGCCUCGCCUAGCCGCACCACUCAUCCGCCCCACCUCUCCCAGCCAGCCCCGCCGCCCCCUCCCUGCCGAGCCCCCUGGUGGUGGACGGUGACAUCUCACCUGGACUGGAUUGGAGAGUUGCAUCCAAUCAGGCCUCCCUCCUCUCCACUAAGUGCAUCUGAUUCUGAACACAGAGUUCUUCACGAUGCUGAUUAGUUUGCUUGUGGAUGUGCUAUUUUUACGCAGGUAAUUUUCAAGUCUCUGACGCAAGCCAUUUGUGUGAGCGCUAAUUAACUUAUAUGGUAAAACUCUAUGGGAUGCUCCGACAAUAAAACUAUUUUAGAAGACACGGCAAUAUUUUACUAUAUGAAGUGAAAAUGUACAAGUUGUAGAUGGACAACUAUGGCAGCUCUUCUAUACAGUUAUUUACUGUCCAGCGAGGCCCUCAGAGGAUAUCUAAAGAAGUGAGAAUGUACACCUUGUUUUUCUAGGCGAACAUGACUUGGAUGAGUCAAUAGCAUAGUAGCCAUAGUUAUCUAAAAAGGGCAGUGUCCCAGGCAACAAGGUAAAUUGUUCUGCUGUCCAAUGCAUUGAAGCUAUAAUGCAUAUAUGCUUAGUAAAUUGUUUAGAUUUGUCUGAGACUAAAAUAAUGACCAACUUAGUGAAUUGUUAAACCUGAAAGUUUGUGUUUUCCAUUUAACACAGUGAAUUGUUUGCACAAUUCAGUUCCGUGUUGAUUGAAUGGACGUGACGUGAUGUUUUCUCCAGGGAACGGACUGAAGUGGAUUGACAUGGUUUCUGUCCAUCAUGCAGUUAUGUGCUAUUCUUCCUUGCUGCAGUGUUGCGCAUCUUUGCUGCUGUGGCUGACUCCAUGAAUAUGAAAGCUAUAUUUACUCCUAAGCUAUGAGUGUCCUCUAACUUCCUUGCAUGAGAGGUAUUUGCUCUCAGUCCCGGCCAUCCUUAUUACGAGGGAUGCAGCAAGGUUCAAUGGAUCAUGACGUUUGGACUAGAUUUGAAUCUAUAUCUACCAAAUCUGUGCGUACAUUUUUAUGCUAUAAAUUUCUUUUUCUUUCAGUAUCCUAUUGAAGUUCUAUCAGCCGACAGGUGCAUUGAAGCGAGCCUGACACCCUGAAAGAACUAUACAAUGAUAUUUGGCUAUUGCUUUCAGUAUUAGAGAAGCAUAGAAACUGAACUGCAGGGCUUACUGUAUUUUCAUGUGGCAUUCCUCUAUGCCAUCAUGCCAUACUGUUUAUUUUGAGCAACCUUUCUAUGGUAUUUUGUUGGACAGUUUUUAGUGUAAUCUCAGGCACCUCAAUAUAUGGUAAACAACUGCAUGCUUGGGUAUAUGUUCUAUUCUCAAUGUUGUAUUCCUUUUAUUUGCUCUGUUACUGUAGCAAUCAAAAAGAAUCGGGCACAAGCUCCAGUUAGUCCUGUACAAAAAUUGGUGUAGAAGUGUGGUCUAUGGAUUCCUUAUUUUGUCGAUUCAGACUUGGGAUUGUAGGGAAAAGUGUGGACUAUGGAUAAAUACCAGAACUGGAUUGACCAUGUCACAUCUUCACCAAGAGUCAUGGCACUGGCAUAUUCAAGCUUUGUUGUUUCCUUCGUUUCCAAGCAACAGUACUCUUAAAGGCAAUAUAUGCAGGUUUAUCAUUCA
Molecule: long non-coding RNA, 1948 nt
Organism: Triticum urartu
Lineage: Eukaryota; Viridiplantae; Streptophyta; Magnoliopsida; Poales; Poaceae
Source: RefSeq, a predicted model, not a curated record